Molecule: ribosomal RNA, 495 nt
Filed under: uncultured bacterium
Lineage: Bacteria
Description: partial 16S ribosomal RNA
Rfam family: Bacterial small subunit ribosomal RNA
Source: RNAcentral
GACGAACGCUGGCGGCGUGCCUAAUACAUGCAAGUAGAACGCUGAAGGAGGAGCUUGCUCUUCUGGAUGAGUUGCGAACGGGUGAGUAACGCGUAGGUAACCUGCCUGGUAGCGGGGGAUAACUAUUGGAAACGAUAGCUAAUACCGCAUAACAGUAGAUGUUGCAUGACAUUUGCUUAAAAGGUGCAAUUGCACCACUACCAGAUGGACCUGCGUUGUAUUAGCUAGUUGGUGGGGUAACGGCUCACCAAGGCGACGAUACAUAGCCGACCUGAGAGGGGGAUCGGCCACACUGGGACUGAGACACGGCCCAGACUCCUACGGGAGGCAGCAGUAGGGAAUCUUCGGCUAUGGACGGAAGUCUGACCGAGCAACGCCGCGUGAGUGAAGAAGGUUUUCGGAUCGUAAAGCUCUGUUGUAAGAGAAGAACGAGUGUGAGAGUGGAAAGUUCACACUGUGACGGUAUCUUACCAGAAAGGGACGGCUAACUACGUG